AACGAACGCUGGCGGCAUGCCUAACACAUGCAAGUCGAACGAGACCUCCGGGUCUAGUGGCGCACGGGUGCGUAACGCGUGGGAACCUGCCCUUAGGUUCGGAAUAACUCCCCGAAAGGGGUGCUAAUACCGGAUAAUGUCUUCGGACCAAAGAUUUAUCGCCUUUGGAUGGGCCCGCGUUGGAUUAGCUAGUUGGUAGGGUAAAAGCCUACCAAGGCGAGGAUCCAUAGCUGGUCUGAGAGGAUGAUCAGCCACACUGGGACUGAGACACGGCCCAGACUCCUACGGGAGGCAGCAGUGGGGAAUAUUGGACAAUGGGCGAAGGCCUGAUCCAGCAAUGCCGCGUGAGUGAUGAAGGCCUUAGGGUUGUAAAGCUCUUUUACCCGGGGUGAUAAUGACAGUACCGGGAGAAUAAGCACCGGCUAACUCCGUG
Molecule: ribosomal RNA, 433 nt
Filed under: uncultured bacterium
Lineage: Bacteria
Description: partial 16S ribosomal RNA
Rfam family: Bacterial small subunit ribosomal RNA
Source: RNAcentral